This 21-nucleotide non-coding RNA is filed under the name Caenorhabditis elegans. Lineage: Eukaryota; Metazoa; Nematoda; Chromadorea; Rhabditida; Rhabditidae. The record is from RNAcentral.
UUUUCAAAUUAAUUUGACUUA